Molecule: non-coding RNA, 640 nt
Organism: Dermatophagoides farinae (American house dust mite)
Lineage: Eukaryota; Metazoa; Arthropoda; Arachnida; Sarcoptiformes; Pyroglyphidae
Source: RefSeq, a predicted model, not a curated record
AAUUCCGAGUCAGGAUACUAAUAACCUUUUUACUUUCUUUUCUGUGUAUACACGAAUACUAACACAAACAACUCGACAACAAAUAAAAAUCCGAUUUUCACAAACGAUCCCACGACAUAUUUAUUAUUAAAUAUUGUUCGUUUUGCAUUCAAUUGAUUCUCACUACAACAAUGGUUCAUCAUUAUUAUCAAUUUGUAGAAACCAUAAAGGUGAUAGUCCAAUUGUAUCAGUAAAAAAGAUGCAUAGCUGUUCGCUAUUUUUAGGCAUUGGUAAUCUUUUGGUUUGGUUUCCAUUAUUACGUUAUUUUGCCUAUUUUCAAUCAUACAACAUUCUCUUAUUGUAACAUUGAAGAAAUCUUUUCCAAACGUUUUGCGGUUCUGUCUUUGUGUAUUUUUAGUUUAUGGAGGAUUUUGUUUUUGUGGUUGGGUCGUUUUGGGUCCUCAUCUCAAAUUUCGUACGCUAAGCUAACAUUGGAAUGUUUGUUUUCACUUAUGAACGGUGAUGAUAUGUUUGCUACAUUUGCUACUCGAUGCAUACGAAUCGAAGAAUAUCCAAUGGAGAAUUUUGAUUCUGGAUUCCAUAAUAACUCAUUUGUUGACCAAAUUCAAAACUAUUUUCGAAUCUGUUUUCGCUCAUCAUC